GAGUGUCUUCUGCCCUGCUUGGGCUUCUACUCCAGCACUAGGAAGACUCCUACUUUGCUAUCUUUCUCUUGACAUUUCUUCUUUUCUGCAUCUCCUGAUUGACUGUCCCUUCUACCCAGAAAUGUCACAUUGGAUGACUUACUAAUUAUUGUGGUUCUUUGGCUGAUGUUUGCUUUACCACUACUUGCCUUACUUGUGAACUCUGCAGAGUCUCACCCUGAG
RNAcentral lists this long non-coding RNA (222 nucleotides) under Anas platyrhynchos platyrhynchos (common mallard). RNAcentral's name for it is "lncRNA (ENSAPLG00000019649.1)". Lineage: Eukaryota; Metazoa; Chordata; Aves; Anseriformes; Anatidae. The record is from RNAcentral.